UGAGGAACAUGACUUUCGGUGGGGGAGUAGCCGGGCCCCAACGGCCGGGUAAUACCGCGUACGACCACAUGGGGACAUCCCUGAGUGGUGAAGGCAGCAAUGCGCCGAUGGAGUGCCUCGCGGCCUAUCAGCUAGUUGGUGAGGUAACGGCUCACCAAGGCGACGACGGGUAGCUGGUCUGAGAGGAUGGCCAGCCACAUUGGGACUGAGACACGGCCCAGACUNUACGGGAGG
This 234-nucleotide ribosomal RNA is filed under the name uncultured bacterium. Its description in RNAcentral is "partial 16S ribosomal RNA". It matches the Rfam family "Bacterial small subunit ribosomal RNA", at positions 118 to 348 of the family's 1533-position model. The record is from RNAcentral.